Molecule: ribosomal RNA, 409 nt
Filed under: uncultured bacterium
Lineage: Bacteria
Description: bacterial SSU rRNA
Rfam family: Bacterial small subunit ribosomal RNA
Source: RNAcentral
CAGCAGCCGCGGUAAUACGUAGGUGGCAAGCGUUGUCCGGAUUUAUUGGGCGUAAAGCGAGCGCAGGCGGUUUUUUAAGUCUGAUGUGAAAGCCUUCGGCUUAACCGGAGAAGUGCAUCGGAAACUGGGAGACUUGAGUGCAGAAGAGGACAGUGGAACUCCAUGUGUAGCGGUGGAAUGCGUAGAUAUAUGGAAGAACACCAGUGGCGAAGGCGGCUGUCUAGUCUGUAACUGACGCUGAGGCUCGAAAGCAUGGGUAGCGAACAGGAUUAGAUACCCUGGUAGUCCAUGCCGUAAACGAUGAGUGCUAAGUGUUGGAGGGUUUCCGCCCUUCAGUGCUGCAGCUAACGCAUUAAGCACUCCGCCUGGGGAGUACGACCGCAAGGUUGAAACUCAAAGGAAUUGACGG